GAGUUUGAUCCUGGCUCAGAAUGAACGCUGGCGGCAUGCCUAACACAUGCAAGUCGAACGAGAUCUUCGGAUCUAGUGGCGCACGGGUGAGUAACGCGUGGGAACCUACCUUUUAGUACGGGACAACGUUUGGAAACGAACGCUAAUACCGUAUACGCCCUCCGGGGGAAAGGUCAGCCGCUGAAAGAGGGGCCCGCGUCUGAUUAGCUUGUUGGUAAGGUAACGGCUUACCAAGGCAACGAUCAGUAGCUGGUCUGAGAGGAUGAUCAGCCACACUGGGACUGAGACACUGUCCGGACACCUACGGGUGGCUGCAGUCGAGAAUCUUCCGCAAUGGACGAAAGUCUGACGGAGCGACGCCGCGUGAGGGAUGAAGGCCCUAGGGUUGUAAACCUCUGACAAAUGUUAGGAAUAAGUAUGUAUUAAUAGUACAUGCGAUGACAAAUGCAUUAGAGGAAGUCACGGCUAAAUACGUGCCAGCAGCCGCGGUAAUACGUAUGUGGCGAGCGUUGUUCGGAAUCACUGGGCAUAAAGAGUUCGUAGGCGGAUAAAUCAGUUGGGUGUGAAAUCCCGGGGCUCACCCCCGGAACUGCACUCAAUACUGUUUAUCUGGAGUCCUUCAGGGGUAAGUGGAAUUCCAUGUGUAGCGGUGAAAUGCGUAGAUAUAUGGGAGAACGCCAAUGGCGAAGGCAGCUUACUGGGGAGUGACUGACGCUGAGGAACGAAAGUUAGGGUAUCGAACGGGAUUAGAUACCCCGGUAGUCCUAACCGUAAACGGUGUGCACUAUGUGAUGGUCCUUUCUGAGGGAUCGUUGCAGUAGCUAAUGCGUUAAGUGCACCGGCUGGGUAGUACGAU
RNAcentral lists this ribosomal RNA (856 nucleotides) under uncultured bacterium. RNAcentral's name for it is "bacterial SSU rRNA". It matches the Rfam family "Bacterial small subunit ribosomal RNA", at positions 9 to 886 of the family's 1533-position model. The record is from RNAcentral.